This 392-nucleotide ribosomal RNA is filed under the name uncultured bacterium. RNAcentral describes it as "partial 16S ribosomal RNA". It matches the Rfam family "Bacterial small subunit ribosomal RNA", at positions 523 to 918 of the family's 1533-position model. The record is from RNAcentral.
AUACGGAGGAUCCGAGCGUUAUCCGGAUUUAUUGGGUUUAAAGGGUGCGCAGGCGGCCAUUUAAGUCAGCGGUUAAAUCGUGGGGCUCAACCCCAUUCUGCCGUUGAUACUGGGUGGCUUGAUUGCGGUCGAGGUUGGCGGAAUUCGUUGUGUAGCGGUGAAAUGCAUAGAUAUGACGAAGAACACCGAUUGCGUAGGCAGCUGACCAGACCGCAAAUGACGCUCAUGCACGAAAGUGCGGGGAUCAAACAGGAUUAGAUACCCUGGUAGUGCUCACAGUAAGCGAUGAAUACUUGUUUUCGGCGAUAUAAUGUCGGAGGCAAAGCGAAAGCGAUAAGUAUUCCACCUGGGGAGUACGCCGGCAACGUUGAAGCUCAAAUGAAUUGACGGGG